Molecule: ribosomal RNA, 500 nt
Filed under: uncultured bacterium
Lineage: Bacteria
Description: partial 16S ribosomal RNA
Rfam family: Bacterial small subunit ribosomal RNA
Source: RNAcentral
AUUGAACGCUGGCGGCAUGCCUUACACAUGCAAGUCGAACGGCAGCACGGGAGCAAUCCUGGUGGCGAGUGGCGAACGGGUGAGUAAUAUAUCGGAACGUGCCCAGUCGUGGGGGAUAACGCAGCGAAAGCUGUGCUAAUACCGCAUACGAUCUACGGAUGAAAGCGGGGGAUCGCAAGACCUCGCGCGAUUGGAGCGGCCGAUAUCAGAUUAGCUAGUUGGGGGGGUAAAGGCCCACCAAGGCGACGAUCUGUAGCUGGUCUGAGAGGACGACCAGCCACACUGGAACUGAGACACGGUCCAGGCUCCUACGGGAGGCAGCAGUGGGGAAUUUUGGACAAUGGGCGCAAGCCUGAUCCAGCAAUGCCGCGUGCAGGAUGAAGGCCUUCGGGUUGUAAACUGCUUUUGUACGGAACGAAACGGCCCUUUCUAAUACAGGGGGCUAAUGACGGUACCGUAAGAAUAAGCACCGGCUAACUACGUGCCAGCCGCCGCCGUAA